GAUCCUAGCUUGCUAGGAGGCGUCGAGCGGCGGACGGGUGAGUAAUGCAUAGGAAUCUGCCCGGUAGUGGGGGAUAACUUGAGGAAACUCAAGCUAAUACCGCAUACGCCCUACGGGGGAAAGCAGGGGCUCUUCGGACCUUGCGCUAUCGGAUGAGCUUAUGUCGGAUUAGCUGGUUGGUGAGGUAACGGCUCACCAAGGCGACGAUCCGUAGCUGGUCUGAGAGGAUGAUCAGCCACAUCGGGACUGAGACACGGCCCGAACUCCUACGGGAGGCAGCAGUGGGGAAUAUUGGACAAUGGGGGCAACCCUGAUCCAGCCAUGCCGCGUGUGUGAAGAAGGCCCUCGGGUUGUAAAGCACUUUCAGCGAGGAAGAAUGCUUGUCGGUUAAUACCCGGCAAGGGAGACAUCACUCGCAGAAGAAGCACCGGCUAACUCCGUGCCAGCAGCCGCGGUAAUACGGAGGGUGCGAGCGUUAAUCGGAAUUACUGGGCGUAAAGCGUGCGUAGGCGGCUUGAUAAGCCGGUUGUGAAAGCCCCGGGCUCAACCUGGGAACGGCAUCCGGAACUGUUAGGCUAGAGUGCAGGAGAGGAAGGUAGAAUUCCCGGUGUAGCGGUGAAAUGCGUAGAGAUCGGGAGGAAUACCAGUGGCGAAGGCGGCCUUCUGGACUGACACUGACGCUGAGGUACGAAAGCGUGGGUAGCAAACAGGAUUAGAUACCCCUGGUAGUCCACGCCGUAAACGAUGUCGACUAGCCGUUGGGGUCCUCGAGACCUUUGUGGCGCAGUUAACGCACUAAGUCGACCGCCUGGGGAGUACGGCCGCAAGGUUAAAACUCAAAUGAAUUGACGGGGGCCCGCACAAGCGGUGGAGCAUGUGGUUUAAUUCGAUGCAACGCGAAGAACCUUACCUACCCUUUGACAUCGUGCGA
This 931-nucleotide ribosomal RNA is filed under the name Halomonas elongata. Its description in RNAcentral is "bacterial SSU rRNA". It matches the Rfam family "Bacterial small subunit ribosomal RNA", at positions 71 to 994 of the family's 1533-position model. Lineage: Bacteria; Pseudomonadati; Pseudomonadota; Gammaproteobacteria; Oceanospirillales; Halomonadaceae. The record is from RNAcentral.